This 345-nucleotide long non-coding RNA is filed under the name Phoenix dactylifera (date palm). RNAcentral describes it as "long non-coding RNA (PDAC_LNC023123)". The record is from RNAcentral. Lineage: Eukaryota; Viridiplantae; Streptophyta; Magnoliopsida; Arecales; Arecaceae.
AUCAAUAGGUUUUUAAUGUCAUCCUUUAGUUUUUGAUUGGAGGCCUUUAGUUCUUUAUUUUUUGCUCCUAACAUACCACAAUCAUUCAUGAGUUCUUGGAAAGCUUCAUAUAAUUCUUCUAAAGUAAAAUCUGUAGUUGAGCUUUGACAUACCUCAUCGUCGUCGAAUGCCAUGAAACACAAGUUGGCGGCUCAUCCUUCUCUUCCUCGGAGGAGGAUGUGUCACUAUCAUCCCAAGUUGCUUUCAACGCCUUCUUCUUCUUCUUUCCAUAGUGCUUCUUCUGUUGAGGGCAUUCGGAGCGGAUGUGUCCCGGUCUCUUGCAAUCAUAACAUAUGAUUGGGUCUC